GAUGAACGCUAGCGGGAGGCCUAACACAUGCAAGCCGAGCGGUAUUUGUUCUUCGGAACAGAGAGAGCGGCGUACGGGUGCGGAACACGUGUGCAACCUACCUUUAUCAGGGGGAUAGCCUUUCGAAAGGAAGAUUAAUACCCCAUAAUAUAUUGACUGGCAUCAGUUAGUAUUGAAAACUCCGGUGGAUAGAGAUGGGCACGCGCAAGAUUAGAUAGUUGGUAGGGUAACGGCCUACCAAGUCAGUGAUCUUUAGGGGGCCUGAGAGGGUGAUCCCCCACACUGGUACUGAGACACGGACCAGACUCCUACGGGAGGCAGCAGUGAGGAAUAUUGGACAAUGGGUGAAAGCCUGAUCCAGCCAUCCCGCGUGAAGGACGACGGUUCUAUGGAUUGUAAACUUCUUUUAUAUAGGGAUAAACCUCUUUACGUGUAAAGAGCUGAAGGUACUAUAUGAAUAAGCACCGGCUAACUCCGUGCCAGCAGCCGCGGUAAUACGGAGGGUGCAAGCGUUGUCCGGAUUUAUUGGGUUUAAAGGGUCCGUAGGCGGAUCUGUAAGUCAGUGGUGAAAUCUCAUAGCUUAACUAUGAAACUGCCAUUGAUACUGCAGGUCUUGAGUAAAGUAGAAGUGGCUGGAAUAAGUAGUGUAGCGGUGAAAUGCAUAGAUAUUACUUAGAACACCAAUUGCGAAGGCAGGUCACUAUGUUUUAACUGACGCUGAUGGACGAAAGCGUGGGGAGCGAACAGGAUUAGAUACCCUGGUAGUCCACGCCGUAAACGAUGCUAACUCGUUUUUGGGACUUCGGUUUCAGAGACUAAGCGAAAGUGAUAAGUUAGCCACCUGGGGAGUACGUUCGCAAGAAUGAAACUCAAAGGAAUUGACGGGGGCCCGCACAAGCGGUGGAUUAUGUGGUUUAAUUCGAUGAUACGCGAGGAACCUUACCAAGGCUUAAAUGGGAAUUGACAGGUUUAGAAAUAGACUUUUCUUCGGACAAUUUUCAAGGUGCUGCAUGGUUGUCGUCAGCUCGUGCCGUGAGGUGUUAGGUUAAGUCCUGCAACGAGCGCAACCCCUGUCACUAGUUGCCAUCAUUCAGUUGGGGACUCUAGUGAGACUGCCUACGCAAGUAGAGAGGAAGGUGGGGAUGACGUCAAAUCAUCACGGCCCUUACGCCUUGGGCCACACACGUAAUACAAUGGCCAGUACAGAGGGCAGCUACCUAGCGAUAGGAUGCGAAUCUCGAAAGCUGAUCUCAGUUCGGAUUGGAGUCUGCAACUCGACUCUAUGAAGCUGGAAUCGCUAGUAAUCGCGCAUCAGCCAUGGCGCGGUGAAUACGUUCCCGGGCCU
Molecule: ribosomal RNA, 1345 nt
Filed under: uncultured bacterium
Lineage: Bacteria
Description: bacterial SSU rRNA
Rfam family: Bacterial small subunit ribosomal RNA
Source: RNAcentral